Gastrolobium bilobum is the source of this 694-nucleotide long non-coding RNA. RefSeq lists it as uncharacterized. The record is from RefSeq and is a predicted model, not a curated record. NCBI's taxonomy places the organism in Eukaryota, Viridiplantae, Streptophyta, Magnoliopsida, Fabales, Fabaceae. The transcript has 3 exons.
CCAGAAGAAAGAAAAGAGAAGGAAGAAAGAAAGGAAAAGAAGGAGAAGGAGAAGGGGAAACCCUAGAGUGAGCAAUCAUUGACCAUUUUGAGUGAUUCCAAAGCCUAACCCACUCCAAAUCUUCCCCUCUUUCAUAAUCCUAGCUUGGUUUUGAGUGGGAGUCUUUGUGGAGUGGGAUAUUGUCCUCCAAAAAUUCGACCCCUAGGAGAAAUUGAGGUGUUGAUGGUUUUUUCUACCAUGGAAGCUUGAGGAACAACCAUUCCAUUGUUGUGUGAUCAUUGGUGGAUUGAGGCAAGAGGACCAAGUGGAGUGACCAACCCUUGGGGUUGUGUGCAAUUGAGGAAAGCUCAAGAGCAAGGUACUGAUAGAGGUGAGGUUGAUCGAGGCAAGAAGCAUGAGUAGACUGUACCUGAUAGCUGGACAUUUUGAGUUGCAUGCCAUUUAGCAUUGCUAUAUGUAUAUUUUGAUGCCACAUGAUGUAUUUUGGAGGACUUAGUGUAUGAUCAUUGUUGUAGUAAUAGGUAUCUGAUACAUGGUUACUUGCUUUGAUCAUGUUCCUUUUGUAGCUAAGUCCAUUGGCAUGUAUAUUAAAUUGUAGGAACUAAGAUGUAAAUGAGACUUUGAUGAAUUGUAAUUAAGACAUGAUGUAAUAUUGGAAUUAAUGGAGAUGUAUGUAUGAUGAAAUAAUAUACAU